GCGCUUGUAGUGCAAUGGUUAGCACGCGCCCCUGAAAAGGGUGGAAUACGGGUUCGAGUCCCGCGCUGACGUCCAAGUUUUGCA
Non-coding RNA from Parelaphostrongylus tenuis, 84 nucleotides. Lineage: Eukaryota; Metazoa; Nematoda; Chromadorea; Rhabditida; Metastrongylidae. The record is from the annotation of a GenBank genome assembly.